GUCUACGGCCAUACCACCCUGAACGCGCCCGAUCUCGUCUGAUCUCGGAAGCUAAGCAGGGUCGGGCCUGGUUAGUACUUGGAUGGGAGAAAUCCAGAGUUUCCAUAUAGU
Molecule: ribosomal RNA, 111 nt
Organism: Mustela putorius furo (domestic ferret)
Lineage: Eukaryota; Metazoa; Chordata; Mammalia; Carnivora; Mustelidae
Source: Ensembl